Pantherophis guttatus is the source of this 299-nucleotide long non-coding RNA. RefSeq lists it as uncharacterized. Lineage: Eukaryota; Metazoa; Chordata; Lepidosauria; Squamata; Colubridae. The record is from RefSeq and is a predicted model, not a curated record.
UGCCAGUUGGUGUUGGGCCUCAUGUGGUCAUUUAACAAUCACAAGAUGGAGAGCUGGGAUUGAGGUGAUUGAGCAAGUUGGUCAUGUGGACAUCUUGCUUAACAACUACAGUGACCACUAUCAAAAUUCUGGCUCAAUUGUGGUCAUAAGUCAAGGACCAUCUGUACUCUGCUUUUAGAGAAUGGUAAAGUAGAGCUUUUAGCUUUAUUCAAGCAACUGUGAGACACAUAAUUUUGAUAUGAAGACAGCUCAGAAAUAUAAGCAUUCUCUCAAAGCAGGAAGUCGACUUAAUCUCCAAA